This 219-nucleotide ribosomal RNA is filed under the name Pseudomonas monteilii. Its description in RNAcentral is "partial 16S ribosomal RNA". It matches the Rfam family "Bacterial small subunit ribosomal RNA", at positions 57 to 270 of the family's 1533-position model. Lineage: Bacteria; Pseudomonadati; Pseudomonadota; Gammaproteobacteria; Pseudomonadales; Pseudomonadaceae. The record is from RNAcentral.
GCAGCCAAACAGCAAGUCGAGCGGAUGACGGGAGCUUGCUCCUUGAAUUCAGCGGCGGACGGUUGAAGUAAUGCCUAGGAAUCUGCCUGGUAGUGGGGGACAACGUUUCGAAAGGAACGCUAAUACCGCAUACGUCCUACGGGAGAAAGCAGGGGACCUUCGGGCCUUGCGCUAUCAUGACCUAGGUCCGAUACUCUUGGAGGGGGGGGGGGUCCCCCU